CACAGGUGUCACUAUGGAGUUUGUGCACGAGCGUGAGCAACAGGAAGCUGCUGCAGUUCACCUAACGGCCACAGGUGUCACUAUGGAGUGUGUGCACGAGCGUGAGUAACAGGAAGCUGCUGCAGUUCACCUAACGGCCACAGGUGUCACUAUGGAGUGUGUGCACGAGCGUGAGUAAUAGGUAGCUGCUGCAGUUCACUUAACGGCCACAGGUGUCACUAUGGAGUUUGUGCACGAGUGUGAGCAACAGGAAGCUGCUGCAGUUCACCUAACGGCCACAGGUGUCACUAUGGAGUGUGUGCACGAGCGUGAGUAACAGGAAGCUGCUGCAGUUCACCUAACGGCCACAGGUGUCACUAUGGAGUGUGUGCACGAGCGUGAGUAAUAGGUAGCUGCUGCAGUUCACUUAACGGCCACAGGUGUCACUAUGGAGUGUGUGCACGAGCGUGAGUAAUAGGUAGCUGCUGCAGUUCACUUAACGGCCACAGGUGUCACUAUGGAGUUUGUGCACGAGCGUGAGCA
Long non-coding RNA from Xyrauchen texanus (razorback sucker), 522 nucleotides. RefSeq lists it as uncharacterized. The record is from RefSeq and is a predicted model, not a curated record. NCBI's taxonomy places the organism in Eukaryota, Metazoa, Chordata, Actinopteri, Cypriniformes, Catostomidae. The transcript has 4 exons.